RNAcentral lists this ribosomal RNA (248 nucleotides) under uncultured Anaerolineaceae bacterium. RNAcentral's name for it is "partial 16S ribosomal RNA". It matches the Rfam family "Bacterial small subunit ribosomal RNA", at positions 796 to 1041 of the family's 1533-position model. Lineage: Bacteria; Bacillati; Chloroflexota; Anaerolineae; Anaerolineales; Anaerolineaceae. The record is from RNAcentral.
CUAGCCGUAAACGAUGUAGACUUGGUGUCGGUGGGGUAAAAGCCAUCGGUGCCGAAGCAAACGCGAUAAGUCUACCGCCUGGGGACUACGGCCGCAAGGUUAAAACUCAAAGGAAUUGACGGGGGCCCGCACAAGCAGCGGAGCGUGUGGUUUAAUUCGAUGCUACGCGAAGAACCUUACCCGGGUUUGACAUACAGGUGGUAGGGAAUUGAAAGAGGACCGACCCUUCGGGGAGCCUGAACAGGUGC